This 253-nucleotide ribosomal RNA is filed under the name uncultured bacterium. Its description in RNAcentral is "partial 16S ribosomal RNA". It matches the Rfam family "Bacterial small subunit ribosomal RNA", at positions 524 to 776 of the family's 1533-position model. The record is from RNAcentral.
UACAGAGGGCUCGAGCGUUAGGCGGAAUCACUGGGCUUAAAGCGUGUGUAGGCGGAUCGUUAAGUGCCUUGUGAAAUCCCACGGCUUAACCGUGGAACUGCUUGGCAUACUGGCGGUCUUGAGCAACCUAGGGGCGAGCGGAACAAAUGGUGGAGCGGUGAAAUGCGUAGAUAUCAUUUGGAACGCCAAUGGUGAAAACAGCUCGCUGGGGGUUUGCUGACGCUGAGACACGAAAGCCAGGGGAGCAAACGGG